RNAcentral lists this ribosomal RNA (100 nucleotides) under uncultured bacterium. RNAcentral describes it as "partial 16S ribosomal RNA". It matches the Rfam family "Bacterial small subunit ribosomal RNA", at positions 1386 to 1482 of the family's 1533-position model. The record is from RNAcentral.
CACACCGCCCGUCACACCAUGGGAGUUGGCUUUACCCGAAGGCGGUGCGCUAACCAGCAAUGGGAGGCAGCCGACCACGGUAGGGUCAGCGACUGGGGUG